RNAcentral lists this ribosomal RNA (337 nucleotides) under uncultured soil bacterium. RNAcentral describes it as "bacterial SSU rRNA". It matches the Rfam family "Bacterial small subunit ribosomal RNA", at positions 26 to 363 of the family's 1533-position model. The record is from RNAcentral.
AGAUUGAACGCUGGCGGCAGGCCUAACACAUGCAAGUCGAGCGGUAGAGAGGUGCUUGCACCUCUUGAGAGCGGCGGACGGGUGAGUAAUGCCUAGGGAUCUGCCUAGUGGUGGGGGAUAACGUUCGGAAACGGACGCUAAUACCGCAUACGUCCUACGGGAGAAAGCGGGGGACCUUCGGGCCUCGCGCCAUUAGAUGAGCCUAGGUCGGAUUAGCUAGUUGGUGAGGUAAUGGCUCACCAAGGCGACGAUCCGUAACUGGUCUGAGAGGAUGAUCAGUCACACUGGAACUGAGACACGGUCCAGACCUCCUACGGGAGCAGCGAGUAGGGGAAUA